Molecule: ribosomal RNA, 433 nt
Filed under: uncultured bacterium
Lineage: Bacteria
Description: partial 16S ribosomal RNA
Rfam family: Bacterial small subunit ribosomal RNA
Source: RNAcentral
AACGAACGCUGGCGGCAGGCCUAACACAUGCAAGUCGAGCGCGCCCUUCGGGGUGAGCGGCGGACGGGUGAGUAACGCGUGGGAACGUGCCCUUUUCUACGGAAUAGCCUCGGGAAACUGAGAGUAAUACCGUAUACGCCCUUUGGGGGAAAGAUUUAUCGGAAAAGGAUCGGCCCGCGUUGGAUUGGGUAGUUGGUGGGGUAAUGGCCUACCAAGCCGACGAUCCAUAGCGGGUUUGAGAGGAUGAUCAGCCACACUGGGACUGAGACACGGCCCAGACUCCUACGGGAGGCAGCAGUGGGGAAUCUUAGACAAUGGGGGCAACCCUGAUCUAGCCAUGCCGCGUGAGUGAUGAAGGCCUUAGGGUUGUAAAGCUCUUUCAGCUGGGAAGAUAAUGACGGUACCAGCAGAAGAAGCCCCGGCUAACUCCGUG